RNAcentral lists this ribosomal RNA (137 nucleotides) under uncultured cyanobacterium. RNAcentral's name for it is "partial 23S ribosomal RNA". It matches the Rfam family "Bacterial large subunit ribosomal RNA", at positions 1 to 137 of the family's 2925-position model. The record is from RNAcentral. Lineage: Bacteria; Bacillati; Cyanobacteriota.
GGUCAAGCUACAAAGGGCUCAUGGCGGAUACCUUGGCACACAGAGGCGAUGAAGGACGUGGUUACCUGCGAUAUGUCUCGGGGAGCUGGAUACACACUUUGAUCCGGGAAUUUCCGAAUGGGGCAACCCUUAGAACG